AACGCACAUUGCGCCCUCUGGUAUUCCGGGGGGCAUGCCUAUUCGAGCGUCAUUAAAUCCAUCAAGCUCUGCUUGGCAUUGGGCCUCGCCGUAAAGGCGUGCCUUAAAACCAGUGGCGGUGUCACCCAGCUUCAAGCGUAGUAAUUCGUCUCGCUAUGGACACUGGGGGAACGCUUGCCAGUAACCCAUAAUCUUUCUUGAUUGACCUCGAAUUAGGUAGGGAUACCCGCUGAACUUAA
Molecule: unclassified non-coding RNA, 239 nt
Filed under: Kodonospora sp.
Lineage: Eukaryota; Fungi; Ascomycota
Also listed under: 1 other name
Description: partial contains 5.8S ribosomal RNA, internal transcribed spacer 2, and large subunit ribosomal RNA
Source: RNAcentral